RNAcentral lists this ribosomal RNA (559 nucleotides) under uncultured Lake Michigan sediment bacterium LMBA37. RNAcentral describes it as "bacterial SSU rRNA". It matches the Rfam family "Bacterial small subunit ribosomal RNA", at positions 920 to 1482 of the family's 1533-position model. The record is from RNAcentral. Lineage: Bacteria; Pseudomonadati; Planctomycetota; Planctomycetia; Planctomycetales.
CCGGCACAAGCGGUGGAGUAUGUGGCUUAUUCGAUGCAACGCGAAGAACCUUACCUGGGCUUGACAUGCGUUGUAACCCUUGCGAAACAGGGUAGCGUAGCAAUACGCGCUUCGCUCAGGUGCUGCAUGGCUGUCGUCAGCUCGUGCGUGAGAUGUUGGGUUAAGUCCCGCAACGAGCGCAACCCUCGUGGUUUGUUGCCACUGGGAAAACCAAGCACUCAAACAAGACUGCCCAGAUAAACUGGGAGGAAGGUGGGGAUGACGCAAGUCCGUAUGGCCCUUACGCCCAGGGCUGCACACGUACUACAAUGUCCAAUACAAAGGCACCAAAUCCGCAAGGCCAAGGAAAUCACCAAAAUUGGACUCAGUUCAGAUUGCAGGCGCAAUUCGCCUGCAUGAAGCUGGAAUCGCUAGUAACGGCACAUCAGCUACGGUGCCGUGAUACGUUCCCGGGUCUUGUACACACCGCCCGUCACAUCAUGGAAGGCGCCGUUCGCCUGAGGGCGCGCCAGAAACCGCAAGGAUCGGCCGCACAAAGGCAAAGCUAGUAACUAGGAUG